GUGCUCACUUCAGCAUCACAUAUACUAAAAUUAGAACAAUACAGAGAAAAUUAGCCUCAACAAUGACAUACAAAUUCAUGAAGCAUUUCAUAUCUUU
Molecule: small nuclear RNA, 97 nt
Organism: Equus asinus (donkey)
Lineage: Eukaryota; Metazoa; Chordata; Mammalia; Perissodactyla; Equidae
Source: Ensembl